UACGUAGGGGGCAAGCGUUGUCCGGAUUUAUUGGGCAUAAAGAGCGUGUAGGCGGCCAGACAGGUCCGUUGUGAAAACUCGAGGCUCAACCUCGAGACGCCGAUGGAAACCGUCUGGCUAGAGUCCGGAAGAGGAGAGUGGAAUUCCCGGUGUAGCGGUGAAAUGCGCAGAUAUCGGGAAGAACACCCGUGGCUAAGGCGGCUCUCUAGUACGGUACUGACGCUGAGACGCGAAAGCGUGGGGAGCGAACAGG
RNAcentral lists this ribosomal RNA (253 nucleotides) under uncultured bacterium. Its description in RNAcentral is "partial 16S ribosomal RNA". It matches the Rfam family "Bacterial small subunit ribosomal RNA", at positions 524 to 776 of the family's 1533-position model. The record is from RNAcentral.